RNAcentral lists this ribosomal RNA (1405 nucleotides) under uncultured bacterium. RNAcentral's name for it is "16S ribosomal RNA". It matches the Rfam family "Bacterial small subunit ribosomal RNA", at positions 25 to 1398 of the family's 1533-position model. The record is from RNAcentral.
CAGAACGAACGCCCGGCGGCGCCCUCACACACGCAAGACGAACGGCGAAGGGUCAAGCUCGCCGGUUCCGGACGCGCGGCGAAACGGGCGAGUCACACGCGAGUAACCCGCCCUCUUCUUCCGGACACCGCACGAAAUGCGCGGCUCAUCCGGGAUAAUUCCGGGCCCGUCGCACGACGGGCCCGGGAAAGACGCGCCCUUCGGGCGUUUUUCGGUGGGAGAUGGGCUCGCGGCCUAUCAGCUUCGUUGGUGGGGUGAUGGCCUACCAAGGCGGUGACGGGUAGCCGGCCUGAGAGGGUGGACGGUCACACUGGGACUGAGACACGGCCCAGACUCCUACGGGAGGCAGCAGUGGGGAAUAUUGCACAAUGGGCGCAAGCCUGAUGCAGCGACGCCGCGUGAGGGAUGGAGGCCUUCGGGUUGUAAACCUCUUUCGCCAGUGAAGCAGGCCUGCUCCUUGUGGGUGGGUUGACGGUAGCUGGAUAAGAAGCGCCGGCUAACUACGUGCCAGCAGCCGCGGUAAUACGUAGGGCGCGAGCGUUGUCCGGAAUUAUUGGGCGUAAAGAGCUCGUAGGCGGCUGGUCGCGUCUGUCGUGAAAUCCUCUGGCUUAACUGGGGGCUUGCGGUGGGUACGGGCCGGCUUGAGUGCGGUAGGGGAGACUGGAACUCCUGGUGUAGCGGUGGAAUGCGCAGAUAUCAGGAAGAACACCGGUGGCGAAGGCGGGUCUCUGGGCCGUUACUGACGCUGAGGAGCGAAAGCGUGGGGAGCGAACAGGAUUAGAUACCCUGGUAGUCCACGCCGUAAACGUUGGGCACUAGGUGUGGGGGGCCUUUUCCGGGUCUUCCGCGCCGUAGCUAACGCAUUAAGUGCCCCGCCUGGGGAGUACGGCCGCAAGGCUAAAACUCAAAGGAAUUGACGGGGGCCCGCACAAGCGGCGGAGCAUGCGGAUUAAUUCGAUGCAACGCGAAGAACCUUACCAAGGCUUGACAUGUGCCGGUCGGCUCCGGAGACGGGGCUUCCUCCUUGUGGGGCCGGUUCACAGGUGGUGCAUGGUUGUCGUCAGCUCGUGUCGUGAGAUGUUGGGUUAAGUCCCGCAACGAGCGCAACCCUUGUCCCGUGUUGCCAGCACGUUGUGGUGGGGACUCGCGGGAGACUGCCGGGGUCAACUCGGAGGAAGGUGGGGAUGACGUCAAAUCAUCAUGCCCCUUAUGUCUUGGGCUUCACGCAUGCUACAAUGGCCGGUACAGAGGGCUGCAAUACCGUGAGGUGGAGCGAAUCCCUUAAAGCCGGUCUCAGUUCGGAUCGGUGUCUGCAACUCGACACCGUGAAGUUGGAGUCGCUAGUAAUCGCAGAUCAGCAACGCUGCGGUGAAUACGUUCUCGGGCCUUGUACACACCGCCCGUC